CUUCUCUCUCUCUCUCUCUUUCAUGUUUCUGCGUACGUGUGUAUAAAAAAAAAAAAACGGAAAAAAUAAGAUUUCGACAUAGUUUCUAAUCGAAUUUAACAUAAAUGCAACGAGUACAAAGUGGACUGAUAAGAAAAAAAUUUAUCUUCCCUAGAGUUUGUCACUAUGCCGUGUUAUCUUACAGACAUAUGACGCACUUCCCGACGAGCGUGUUAGUCAUCGUUUAACAAUAGCUCAAAAAUGCAUAAAUUGACACAACGAAAUUUAUAUUCCCGCCAUUGAAUUACAUCCCUGAGCGUAACUCUGUCAAUGACCACGUAGCAGCGCCAGAAACACUGAGCUUCUCUCUUCGAGAGUGCCUUAUUUGGAAAUGCACACCCUGCUGGCACUCAAAGAUUAACCCUCGCAUUUGCCUUCUUCGGAGGAAUGGUCUCUCGAGCGAUCCAUUAGACCGGUUGAAAAGCGCCAACUGGAGUUGACAGAGUCGAAUUAAAUCAGCAUGGCGGAUUGCACUUGCAUUCAAAUUGUCUAAGGAAGUGUGCAUCAGAGAAUCCAAACUACAUAUUACUCUCUGAUAAUUUGAAAAACUUGUAUAGAGUGAAUAUGUCAGCUGAAGGAAUUGAAAAACGAUGGUCGUCUUUAAGAGAUAUGUUUAGUAGAGAGAAUAGGAAACAUAAAUUACAACCGUCUGGUUCUGGAUAUGAAUCUAUAAAAAAAUGGGAGUUAUAUAGAAAUAUGUUGUUUUUAACUCCUCAUAUAGCGCA
Molecule: long non-coding RNA, 764 nt
Organism: Pseudomyrmex gracilis
Lineage: Eukaryota; Metazoa; Arthropoda; Insecta; Hymenoptera; Formicidae
Exons: 3
Source: RefSeq, a predicted model, not a curated record